GGCAUCAUAGUCUAGCGGUCAGGACACACGCCUCUCACGCGUGGGACCGGAGUUCGAUUCUCCGUGGUGCUACCA
Molecule: transfer RNA, 75 nt
Filed under: Clostridia bacterium
Lineage: Bacteria; Bacillati; Bacillota; Clostridia
Description: tRNA-Glu
Rfam family: tRNA
About the family: Transfer RNA (tRNA) molecules are approximately 80 nucleotides in length.
Source: RNAcentral